UCCGAUGUAGCUCAAUUGGCAGAGCGGGUGGCUGUUAACCACUAGGUUCCUGGUUCAAGUCCAGGCAUCGGAG
RNAcentral lists this transfer RNA (73 nucleotides) under Candidatus Pacearchaeota archaeon. RNAcentral's name for it is "tRNA-Asn". It matches the Rfam family "tRNA". Rfam says of the family: Transfer RNA (tRNA) molecules are approximately 80 nucleotides in length. Their secondary structure includes four short double-helical elements and three loops (D, anti-codon, and T loops). Further hydrogen bonds mediate the characteristic L-shaped molecular structure. tRNAs have two regions of fundamental functional importance: the anti-codon, which is responsible for specific mRNA codon recognition, and the 3' end, to which the tRNAs corresponding amino acid is attached (by aminoacyl-tRNA synthetases). tRNAs cope with the degeneracy of the genetic code in two manners: having more than one tRNA (with a specific anti-codon) for a particular amino acid; and 'wobble' base-pairing, i.e. permitting non-standard base-pairing at the 3rd anti-codon position. The record is from RNAcentral. Lineage: Archaea; Nanobdellati.